Neopsephotus bourkii (Bourke's parrot) is the source of this 660-nucleotide long non-coding RNA. RefSeq lists it as uncharacterized. The transcript has 3 exons. Lineage: Eukaryota; Metazoa; Chordata; Aves; Psittaciformes; Psittacidae. The record is from RefSeq and is a predicted model, not a curated record.
GCCUCAGACUAUUGAGAGGCUGUGUUAGGAGGUUUGUGUAAAUUGCUGGGAUUACAUUUCCAGAUAAGUUUUCUGUCCCUAUGCUGUUGCAGCACAGGUCACACUGGGUUGUACUUAACUGGCCCUAUUACGGGAAAGGGAGGAUUUAUGAAAUACCUUUUCUUUUGCAUUGCAUAUAAAACUAUAACAUUUAAAACUGCUUUAUAGGGAAACUGCUUGGGCGCUUCCAGCUCAUGGUGUCAUCUCCUGCUCAGACCAGGUUCCCCUUCGUGGCUGCCACCAGCCUGAAUCAUGAUAGCUCUUUCAGAAAUCUCCAGCUGGGAUUUGUCCCCGAAGCCUGGUGGGAAGUGCAGAACAGCACAGCACCUCUGGCUGGACUUCCAAGACAGACCCACCUCUCCAGAGAUGCCCAGUUGACGUCUCCCUGAUGGACUCUAUAUGGCUCCUCACGCCCAUUUAAAAACCUUUCAUGCAGGGUGUGAAGGUUUGAGAAGACUGGCCAGCAAUCACAGAGGUGUUCCUCAGAACAAGGGUGAUGAUGCAAACAGGAUGUGGGAGGAUUUGUGGAUAUUUAUGAGCAGGUGCUCUUCAGCUGGAGUCCAUUUUGAAGUAAUUGACACCUGGGGAUUGCUGGGCACCAGAGAUGCUUCUGCAAAGCGG